RNAcentral lists this long non-coding RNA (1281 nucleotides) under Equus asinus (donkey). RNAcentral describes it as "lncRNA (ENSEASG00005028979.1)". Lineage: Eukaryota; Metazoa; Chordata; Mammalia; Perissodactyla; Equidae. The record is from RNAcentral.
CCUGGAUCUCCUAAGUGGAAUUUGCUCUGAGGCCUGCGUCACAAGUGCGCCUGGGUUGUGUAAGGCAGGAAUGUGGAAAAUAGUUAGAAUUUGAUAAAAGCAUUGUGGAGGAGGGGCACCCUCUCACUCCGAGGGCUGUGACAGCCACAAGCUUGUUCGCAGCGCCUGAAUUUCAGCCUUUCUGGAGAAGCAUGAAGCCCAGAGAAACAGCACAGAGAAGAGUUUAUAUUCCUGUUUCUUCAGUUUGAAGACUGAACCCUAAUCUCAUUUCUCUCCAUCAUGCCUCCCCACCCCCAAAUCCUCAAGCUAAAGCUGAUCAAGAUCUACGUGUGGAAUGAAAAGCUAGUCCCGUGCCUGGGAGAAUUCAUACUCAGUGAGUUAGGGAGAUAAGCGAGGUCUCUUUCAGUCUAAAGAAAACCUGCUUGCUUCUGGAAAGUGCCAGUGGGAAAUUUCAGAAUGGAGCAGGGUGUGCCCGGCAGCCUUCUGGAUCAGAGAGGUUUUGCCUGUGUUCAGAGGUGAAGGUGUUUCCCACACAGCUGAAGAGCGUCAAGCAGGCUUGACCCUGUGGCCCAGGCUGACCCCUGCGCUUUCCUUGGUGUCGUCAGCCUGAAGUAAAUGUAUCCAAAAACCUCCACUUAAACAGCGUCCUUAAAAUAGGGUCUCUGUGCGUGUGGACUGUGUUUCCUGUUACUCGUUCGAGAUGGUAUAGAGAAUGUUUAUCUUUGCUAACUAGUUACUAACCUCGUCUGACGUUUGCAUCGUGAGCAGUAAAUGCUGCGUUUUAUUGGGGUGGCCCUCGCCAGCACUUUUUCUCCGUUGGUCAGUUCCACGACUUGGGGGCAAAAAAUCUCUCAGCUCCAUCUUUAAAAUCAGGAGAGUGAGCCAUUAGGGAAGCUCGUACCGAGUCUGGCCCUGAACUUGAAGUCCUGACCUCUCACCCUUGGCGUGGCCCUAGAUGAGAACCUAGAUGCUGGGCAUUUCUCUUCGUGCAGCUUAUUCUCGCUCGUUCAUCCAGUUGUCCAUUCCGUGGUUUACUUGUUCAUACACCAAACGUGGAGGGCCGGCCGUGGCUCCCAGAACUGUCUUCAGCCCACAGCCCAGUGCUUCCCCGAUAGACAUCCCUGAAGGACCAGUUUUUAAAAAAUGUUCUAGUCAUUGCAGAUGGAUACUUUGUUUUUUUAAAUUUUUAUUGAGAUUAUGAUAGUUUACAACCUUGUGAAAUUUCAGUCGUACAUUAUUGUUUGUCAGUCAUACUGUAGGUGCACCCCUUCACCCUUUGUG